Molecule: ribosomal RNA, 495 nt
Filed under: uncultured bacterium
Lineage: Bacteria
Description: partial 16S ribosomal RNA
Rfam family: Bacterial small subunit ribosomal RNA
Source: RNAcentral
GACGAACGCUGGCGGCGUGCCUAAUACAUGCAAGUAGAACGCUGAAGGAGGAGCUUGCUUCUCCGGAUGAGUUGCGAACGGGUGAGUAACGCGUAGGUAACCUGCCUGGUAGCGGGGGAUAACUAUUGGAAACGAUAGCUAAUACCGCAUAAGAGUAGAUGUCGCAUGACAUUUGCUUAAAAGGUGCAACUGCACCACUACCAGAUGGACCUGCGUUGUAUUAGCUAGUUGGUGAGGUAACGGCUCACCAAGGCAACGAUACAUAGCCGACCUGAGAGGGUGAUCGGCCACACUGGGACGGAGACACGGCCCAGACUGCUACGGGAGGCAGCAGUAGGGAAUCUUCGGCAAUGGACGGAAGUCUGACCGAGCAACGCCGCGGGAGGGAAGAAGGUUUUCGGAUCGUAAAGCUCUGUUGUAAGAGAAGAACGAGUGUGAGAGUGGAAAGUUCACACUGUGACGGUAGCUUAACAGAAAGGGACGGCUAACUACGUG